AAGUUAUCUUAACUUUUAUAGAUCCAGAUGGAAAUGAAACUUCCACAGUAGGAAAAAAUCUAUACCCUGGAAUUAACACUUUUCUUGAUUUCCAAAUGCAACCUUCUCCUAAAUAUGGUUUAUGGACAAUUAAAGCUAAAUACAAAGAAGACUUCACAACAACUGGAACUGCACAGUUUGAGCUGAAAAUCCCUGAUACAUAUUCAUCGAGUCCCGCAUUCACUAUAUUAAUAGAACCAGAAGACGACUUUAUCAGCCAUAAAAAUUUGGAGGACUUCAAGAUUACUGUAAGAGCUGGAUAUUAUCUUAAUGAAAAUAUUCCUGAAGCUAAUGUGCUUGUGUCUUUUGGAAUAAGAGAAAAUUUAGAUGAUCAUGGAGAAGCUAUGAUGCUUGCCAAAACAC
Suncus etruscus (white-toothed pygmy shrew) is the source of this 402-nucleotide long non-coding RNA. RefSeq lists it as uncharacterized. The transcript has 5 exons. The record is from RefSeq and is a predicted model, not a curated record. NCBI's taxonomy places the organism in Eukaryota, Metazoa, Chordata, Mammalia, Eulipotyphla, Soricidae.